RNAcentral lists this ribosomal RNA (235 nucleotides) under uncultured bacterium. Its description in RNAcentral is "partial 16S ribosomal RNA". It matches the Rfam family "Bacterial small subunit ribosomal RNA", at positions 96 to 334 of the family's 1533-position model. The record is from RNAcentral.
UGGCGGACGGGGAGGUAAUGUCUGGGAAACUGCCCGAUGGAGGGGGAUAACUACUGGAAACGGUAGCUAAUACCGCAUAACGUCGCAAGACCAAAGAGGGGGACCUUCGGGCCUCUUGCCAUCGGAUGUGCCCAGAUGGGAUUAGCUAGUAGGUGGGGUAACGGCUCACCUAGGCGACGAUCCCUAGCUGGUCUGAGAGGAUGACCAGCCACACUGGAACUGAGACACGGUCCAG